RNAcentral lists this small RNA (824 nucleotides) under Pan troglodytes (chimpanzee). Its description in RNAcentral is "processed transcript". The record is from RNAcentral. Lineage: Eukaryota; Metazoa; Chordata; Mammalia; Primates; Hominidae.
AAGGGAAUAAAUGCUGGCCCCUCAGAGCAUCUGUAGCAAUGUGCUUGGGUCUGUGGAAUGUUUGUGUUUUGGCUAUUUACAGUAGAUCUUUCUGCUGCUCACUUUUUGGGUCGGCAGUGUGUUUAUGAGCUGUGAUACUCGCUGCAGAGGUCUGUGGCUUUACUUUUGAAGUCGGCAAGAGUAACCAGCCCACGAACCCACCGGGAGGAACGAAAAACUCGGGAUACGCUACCUUUAAGAGCUGUUAACACUCGCUGCAAAGGUCUGCAGCUUCACAUAGAUAAUGAACUCAGAGUAUCAACCCACCAGAAAAAAAAAAAAAACUCUGGACCCGUCUUAACAGCUGGAGGAACAAACUGCAGGCACUGCAUCCUUAAGAGCUGUAACACUCCCUGCGAGAAUUUGCGGCUUCAAUUUUGAAGUACGUGAGACCAAUAACCUGCCACGCAGUUGUGAACGAUCCCGGGAACAUGUCCUUUGUGAAGGAGACGGUGGACAAGCUGUUGAAAGGCUACGACAUUCGCCUAAGACCCGACUUCGGGGGUCCCCCGGUCUGCGUGGGGAUGAAUAUCGACAUCGCCAGCAUCGACAUGGUUUCCGAAGUCAACAUGUCUUCUUUCUGUUGGAGGUGCUUAGAAGCAGGAAUACCAUCAAAAGGCGUGAAGACACAGGGGAAGAAGAAAUUGAAGGGAGAAUAGAAACAGUUAAAUUUUUCUAAACAGAUUUCCAAUUCUGGCCAAGAUGGAAUAGUGCCAUUCCUCCCAGGUCCUUCCUCCCGGAACACAAAACUCUGGCCAUAACACAACAAAUAAACACAGGAAGAA